CCUGUAAGAGGUCACGGUCAAGGGGUGUGAGACAGAAACUGCCAUGGGAGCAGCAUACUCUUGGACAGUAUCUCAGUACUCAGAUUUGCCUCUGGGGUUUUUUUGCAGGAGACGUACGCAACCUCACAGGGCUGAAGCCAGCUCUCAAUGAGGUGACGAACACGGUUUGGUCCUCUCGAGCUGUCCUUGUAGGUAAUCUCCGAGUAUUAAAAAGAUCAGCAGUGAAGCAUUGAGCUUUUUUGAUUGCAGGUGCCAUCUGGGUAACCUUUGGGAGCAGAUGAGCAUUGGAGGUGAGUCAGGGAGGCAGCAGGAGGAGCGGGGAUCCACUGCAGCUUUAGAGUUGCCCUCUAAUUUUGUCUCUCGCUCACUCAGGUAUCCCAGAAGAUGACAUCACAUUGUCCUACUCUGGUCAGAGCCAGCGACCCGAGGAGCUGCUUCGGUGAGAGUGAGUAGAGGGAUCAUGGGGGCUGGGGCCAUGUGCCACACUACUCAGAUAUGGUGUCUGGUUUUCUUUCUCGCAGUGGACUCCUAGUAGUCUGACGAUGGCAGGAACCUCUGAACCAGCCCAGGUGCCCCUCCUGUGCAUCAAAGAUGGAUUGACAUCCCCGGCUCUCGGAAAGUUAAGUGCAGGGCAAAGACCCAGAGAGGAGUUGGGAGUCGGGGCAAGUAUGUGCCUCGCCUGGAGGGAUUUUUGAAAUUAGUACAGUGCAAGGGGUAUUAUCCUGGAACAGGUUAUUAGGACGCGUCAAAGGAAGGGCUUACUUUUUAUCAUGGGAUUCACGUGUGCAGGGCAGAGCAGUUCGAGUCUGUGUCACGUCCUUUGUCUCGUCCGUGUUUUGUGUCACGUGGUGUGUGUGGUCACAGGUCCGGGAUGUCUCACUUGGGGUCAGCCUGGAACUGCUCUGCCCUGCUCCUUGGAUCAGUGGGUAGAUGGGAUCUGGCUCCGAGUGUCAGGUCAACCUGUCAGUUCCCUCAGACAGACGUGCCACUGGCCGUACAGUCUGUGAGCAGGAUGGUCUUCUGAUGCCCUGCUUGGGUGUAUAGAGUCCUGGCUAGGUAGAGUAGGAAACAGUGUCUAGGGUUUAGAGGUUUUUGGCUUUCCUUGUGAGCGAUCCCUAAAUGUUUGAGAGCUGAGUGUUUGAGCAUUUGCCCAUUUCAUUUGCAGGGGCGGUCUUGGGAGCAGCUGAAGAGAGAGGAGCCUUGUAGGUAUCCCGGAAGGUAAGAGCCCCAGUGUCCGACUCCGGUCAGGGCCUCGGUGCUGUUGACUUGGAGUAACCUCGUGAUCGCAGGAACCACCUCACGAUGGGGCAACUGACCCAGAUUGGUCGUCUUGACCUGUCCUCAUCUGAAAUCUCCGAGUAUUAAAAUGAUUAGCAACGAGGCACUGAGCCUUAGUGAUGGCAGGUGCCAUCCGGGUAACUUUUGGGAGUGGCCGGGUAUUGGAGAUGAGUCGGGUAGGCAGCAUGAGAAGCGGGGAUGCACUGCAGCUUUAGAAAUGCCCACUAAUUUUGUCUUUCUUAUAUUUCUCUUAGGCUCUUCUCCUGAUUUUUAUUCUCUUAGUCUCUUCCCCUGAUUUUUAUUCUCUUAGUCUCUUCUCCUGAUUUUAUUUUACUUAGGCUCUUCUGAUUUUAUAUCACUUAGGCUCUUCUCCAACUUCUAUUUCUCUUAGCCUCUUCUCCUGAUUUUAAUUUUUUAGGCUC
Long non-coding RNA from Lepidothrix coronata (blue-crowned manakin), 1700 nucleotides. RefSeq lists it as uncharacterized. The record is from RefSeq and is a predicted model, not a curated record. The transcript has 3 exons. Lineage: Eukaryota; Metazoa; Chordata; Aves; Passeriformes; Pipridae.